Molecule: ribosomal RNA, 253 nt
Filed under: uncultured bacterium
Lineage: Bacteria
Description: partial 16S ribosomal RNA
Rfam family: Bacterial small subunit ribosomal RNA
Source: RNAcentral
UACAGAGGGUGCAAGCGUUGUUCGGAAUUAUUGGGCGUAAAGGGUGCGUAGGCGGCGCGGUAAGUCGGGUGUGAAAUCUCGGGGCUUAACUCCGAAACUGCAUUCGAUACUGCCGUGCUUGAGGACUGGAGAGGAGACUGGAAUUUACGGUGUAGCGGUGAAAUGCGUAGAUAUCGUAAGGAAGACCAGUGGCGAAGGCGGGUCUCUGGACAGUUCCUGACGCUGAGGCACGAAGGUCAGGGGAGCAAACGGG